AGCCGCAUAUGGCCGGCGCUGCCCUGUCGCCCUGAGCUGCCGCACAUGGCCGGCCCUGCUCCCCAGCGCCACCGGCCCUGACCUUCCCCCUAUUCGCCUCGGCCGUCGUCGACCCGAGAAGCCACCGGCGUCCGCAGCGCGACGCCUGUCUUCGCUCGCCGUCGACCACCAGCAGGCGCCCGCCUCCGCCUCCGUUGCUCUCAUGCGCUGCGACCUUCCCGUGCCGUGGGAUUCCGCCUCCUCUAUUCUCCCCUGCAGGCGGCGGGGCUUGGCAUCGAUGGAGUUGGCAGGGUCCAAUGGAUCCAGCGCCCAGACGAGGUUGGCGAGCUCCGACGCGGUCGCGGACGGCUUGAGCUCCUCAGGCGUCAGUGGCGCGUCGGUGUACUCCGGAUCGAACGAUGUACCCUCGAGUGUAAUUCGUUCGUGUGAAAUUUUCUCAUCUUGUUAAACAGCAAGUGACGAUGAUUAGUUAUGGAUAUUGUGUAUGGAUAUUGAUUCUUGAAACAGCAGUGUGUAUGGAUAUUGUGGUGUUCUUCGUCAGUUCAUUACCCCCUUCCCCUCUGGACAGAUUUAGAUAUACUUUUUUAUUGAAAAAAUCUUCGCCGUCUAUGAUAUUUGAGGUUGACAGCAAAAAUGGAUUCUGGCUGACGGCAAAGGCACUGACACCGUCCGUCAGUCGGGUCGUUCUAUUAAACGCUUUUUUUGCCGUCGGGCAAUUUUCGAUGAUGGCAAAAUCGGUUGACUGACAGCAAAUUCUUUGCCGUCUGGCAAUUUUCGAUGAUGGCAAAAUCGGUUGACUGACAGCAAAUUCUUUGCCGUCUGCCCGAUAAAAUGCUGACGGCAAAAUCCCCCUUUGCCGACUUUGUCUUUGCCGAAAAGGUUUGCCGUCAUGGGCUGAUGGCAAAAUCUUUGCCAUCUGCAAUCUUGCCUUUGCCGUCUGUAGGAGCCUGACAGCAAAAUGCCUGAUUCCCGUAGUGCACGCACCUAUACAAACAAAUAAGAACCUCGCAACCAACGCGAUAAAGGGGUUGUCAAUCCCUUCAUGGUCACUUACGAGAGUGAGAUCUGAUAGAUAUGAUAAGAUAAUAUUUUUGGUAUUUUUAUGAUAAAGAUAAAUAAAGAUGCAAAGUAAAAUAAACGGCAAUAGAAAUAAGUAAGUGUUGGAAGAUUAAUAUGAUAGAAGAUAGACCCGGGGGCCAUAGGUUUCACUAGUGGGUUAUCUCAAGAGCAUAAGUAUUUUUUUACUGGAAACUGUGAGGCAACAGCCCAACAGCACUUUAUUAAAACCCAACCACCAAAAUAACAAAGAGGUUCUGAAAAGAACGUGUAACUAUAGAGGUAGAGGCCUACUUACCUAUUGAGCUAUUUACAACAUAUACACAAAUAUAUACAUGGAUACAUACAACCAAUUAGGGCAAAGAAUUAACCCAAGCUAAUAACAGAGGUCUAAGACUAGACUUGAAUUUGUGAGAGUGCAGAGUAGCAUCAUGAAUGAAGUUUCUCUUCCAAGCAGCAAAAGAUGGCCUUUCAUGUCUGAAAAUUCUGCCAUUUCUGAGGAGCCAAAUAUUCCAAGCUGCUAGAUAAACAACCUCCCUGAAAAAAGGUUUGCCAAAGCUUUUCCUUGCAGCAAAUAAGCAUUGAGCUGUUGUUAAACCAGCUAACCAUUGGAUGUUCAAGUAAUUCCAUACCCUUGUGCUGAAUUGGCAUGUGAAGAAGAGAUGAUCUCUAUCUUCAUGGGCAUGGGCAAAGCGAAUUGGAUGUUCAAGAGCAUACGUAUUAUGGUGGGUAAACGAAUUACUGUCGAGCAAUUGAUAGAAAAGUGAAUAAUUAUGAGAAUAUCUAGGCAUGAUCAUGUAUAUAGGCAUCACGUCCGUGACAAGUAGACCGAAAUGAUUCUGCAUCUACUACUAUUACUCCACACAUCGACCGCUAUCCAGCAUGCAUCUAGAGUAUUAAGUUCAUAAGAACAGAGUAAUGCCUUAAGUAAGAUGACAUGAUGUAGAGGGAUAAACUCAUGCAAUAUGAUAUAAACCCCAUCUUUUUAUCCUCGAUGGCAACAAUACAAUACGUGUUGGUUCCCUUUCUGUCACUGGGAUCGAGCACCACAAGAUUGAACCCAAAGCUAAGCACUUCUCCCAUUGCAAGAAAGAUCAAUCUAGUAGGCCAAACCAAACUGAUAAUUCAAAGAGACUUGCAAAGAUAAACCAAUCAUACAUAAAAGAAUUCAAAGGAGAAUCAAAUAUUGUUCAUAGAUAAUCUGGAUCAUAAAUCCACAAUUCAUCGGAUCUCGACAAACACACCGCAAAAGAAGAUUACAUCGAAUAGAUCUCCAAGAAGAUCAAGGAGAACUUUGUAUUGAGAUCCAAAGAGAGAGAAGAAGCCAUCUAGCUAAUAACUAUGGACUCGUAGGUCUGAAAUAAACUACUCACACAUCACCGGAGAGGCCAUGGAGUUGAUGUAGAGGCCCUCCGUGAUCAAUGUCCCAUCCGGCGGAGCUCCGAAAAAGGCCCCAAGAUGGGAUCUCUCGGGUAAAGAAGGUUGCGGCGGUGGAAUUAGGUUUUCGUGGUGCUCCUGAAUGUUUGGGGGUACGUGGAUAUAUAUAGGAGGAAGAAGUACGUCGGUGGAGCAACGAGGGGCCCACGAGGGUGGAGGGCGCACCCAGGGGGUAGGCGCGCCCCCCUGCCUCGUGCCUUCCUCGAUCGUUUCUUGACGCCCACUCCAAGUCUCCUGGAUCACGUUUGUUGAGAAAAUCAUGUUCCCGAAGGUUUCAUUCUGUUUGGACUCCGUUUGAUAUUCCUUUUCGGUGAAACUCUAAAAUAGGCAAAAAAAA
Molecule: long non-coding RNA, 2830 nt
Filed under: Triticum aestivum (bread wheat)
Lineage: Eukaryota; Viridiplantae; Streptophyta; Magnoliopsida; Poales; Poaceae
Description: long non-coding RNA (TAES_LNC021462)
Source: RNAcentral